Non-coding RNA from Carica papaya (papaya), 504 nucleotides. The record is from RefSeq and is a predicted model, not a curated record. Lineage: Eukaryota; Viridiplantae; Streptophyta; Magnoliopsida; Brassicales; Caricaceae.
CGAACAAUAAAGUUAGGGAUGAUGAUGUGGAAGGAAGAAAUGAUAUAAUUACAUUUUUGAAUUAGUAUGGAGAUUUGCUAGAUCUUGUAGAAUUGCUCUCUGGAGAUGAUAAGGGUAGAGAUCUCCAGGCUUCAAAUCUGAUGGGUCAUAUGAGAAUGAUAAUCGUGUGCUCAUAAAGAAAAAGACGAUAGUAGCUGCCACAUCCACUGCCUUAAUUGUAUUCCUUCUCAUUUUUGUAAUUGCUUUCUAUUGUCUAUGGCGGAGGAAGACCUCAAGGGAUCGCGGAGCAGAGAGAAAUGUGAUUAGGAGGAAUUUUACUUAGUGAAGGGAAAUUUGUCUCAAGAUCAAGUAGUAGCAAUAAAAAGGUUAUCCGAGAAGUUUUCACAAGGCCUCGAGGAGUUCAUGAAUGAAUUGAAACUCAUUGCUAAUCUGCAACAUAAAAAUCUCGUAAGGCUCAUAGGCUGUUGUGUGAAGGAGGGUGAAAAACUUUUAGUGUACUGAGUA